This 449-nucleotide ribosomal RNA is filed under the name uncultured Macellibacteroides sp. RNAcentral's name for it is "bacterial SSU rRNA". It matches the Rfam family "Bacterial small subunit ribosomal RNA", at positions 22 to 464 of the family's 1533-position model. The record is from RNAcentral. Lineage: Bacteria; Pseudomonadati; Bacteroidota; Bacteroidia; Bacteroidales; Porphyromonadaceae.
GCUCAGGAUGAACGCUAGCGACAGGCUUAACACAUGCAAGUCGAGGGGCAGCAUAAAAGUAGCAAUACUUUGGUGGCGACCGGCGCACGGGUGAGUAACGUGUAUGCAACCUACCUAUCAGAGGGGAAUAACCCGGCGAAAGUCGGAUUAAUACCGCAUAAAACAGGGACACCGCAUGGUGAUAUUUGUUAAAGAAAUUCGNUGAUAGAUGGGCAUGCGUUCCAUUAGGUAGUUGGUGAGGUAACGGCUCACCAAGCCGACGAUGGAUAGGGGAANUGAGAGGUUGGUCCCCCACACUGGUANUGAGACACGGACCAGACUCAUACGGGAGGCAGCAGUGAGGAAUAUUGGUCAAUGGGCGAGAGCCUGAACCAGCCAAGUCGCGUGAAGGAAGAAGGAUCUAUGGUUUGUAAACUUCUUUUGCAGGGGAAUAAAGUGCAGGACGUGUC